Molecule: ribosomal RNA, 253 nt
Filed under: uncultured bacterium
Lineage: Bacteria
Description: partial 16S ribosomal RNA
Rfam family: Bacterial small subunit ribosomal RNA
Source: RNAcentral
UACGUAGGGUCCGAGCGUUGUCCGGAAUUAUUGGGCGUAAAGGGCUCGUAGGCGGUUUGUCACGUCGGGAGUGAAAACUCAGGGCUCAACCCUGAGCGUGCUUUCGAUUCGGGCAGACUAGAGGUAUUCAGGGGAGAACGGAAUUCCUGGUGUAGCGGUGGAAUGCGCAGAUAUCAGGAGGAACACCGGUGGCGAAGGCGGGUCUCUGGGCAGUAACUGACGCUGAGGAGCGAAAGCGUGGGGAGCGAACAGG